This is a long non-coding RNA of Orcinus orca (killer whale), 2813 nucleotides long. RefSeq lists it as uncharacterized. NCBI's taxonomy places the organism in Eukaryota, Metazoa, Chordata, Mammalia, Artiodactyla, Delphinidae. The transcript has 2 exons. The record is from RefSeq and is a predicted model, not a curated record.
GCGGUGGUGACUGUGGAGGCUGAGUGACUGCCACCAGUCUGUCUGAUGGAUUGACUCAGACCACCAAGGAGCCAGCGCCAUUGAUUUCUGCUCAGCCAUCUCAUCUCUGUGACCUCUCCCUGGAAGGAAGGAAAGGAAAAGAGAAAGAGAGACAGGUUGAAGACUUCCCCUGCUGCAAAGCCAGCAUCCUCGCAGUGGAAAAGAAACUUAGAAAAUAUGCUUCCCAUUUGGGGCAUACUUCCCAAAAUCUCCAGUGAACAAGGCACGCACUUCACUGGGAAAAUCAUACAAGCCUUAACAAAAACCUUGCAAAUUUCUUGGAAUUACCACUGCUCCUAUCACCCUCAAUCAUCAGGCAAAGUUGAGAGAACUAAUGGAUAAACUGGAUUCAAGGAGAACAAGAAUUAAUAACAUGGGACUGAAUAAACUGAUGAGGAUGAUUAUAAUUGUUACGACUUUGUGUUUAAAAUAUUUCUGGUUCUUUAAUGUUUUUUCCAAAUUUAAAGACAUCUUUUCUCUUAGGCUAUCAACAAUUUGGUAAGCUAUAAUCUUGUGAACAAAUAUGAAACGUUUACUUUGUCUCCCUACCUGGUUCUUCCAGAAUUCAAAUAUUCUCAGUGAGUAUUAUUUUCAUGUUGUUUGUAACAGGGCAAAAUUGGAAACAGUGGCUAUAGUACCAAGGCUUUGAUUGAAAUGGUAUUGAGGAUAAGGUCUGAGAGUACUUAUGAAAAGCUUCAACAAAGCAACCUUAAAAAGAACUUAUAUGGUCAUUUACUAUUCUUGCCACAUUUAUAUAAAUAAUUAGGCCAAGUUUAACACAAACAAAUUAGUUUUACUGUGAUUAUCUUUGUUAAAAAUUGGGGGUAAGAGUAGAGAGAAAUAUUAUGUUUGCAUAUGUAUAUAUAUUAAGAUUCUAGUCCUUUUACUUGUCUUUGAGGUUUUGUUAUUUACCUGUACUCUGGACUGGAUCCUGAAUUCUUCUAGUUUCCUCAAAUAUCUGUCUAUGACUAUGCAAUCAAACAUUUCCAGUUUUCUCCCACCCUUCUGAUUUGGAAUCACUGAGGACAAAGACUGCCCUUAAAUCUCCUUAGCAGAGACUGUAUCAGGUCCUCCUGACUAUCCAGAUGGCAGCCACACUUCGGGGACUUAAACCUUGGAUGCACUUCUCACAGUAGGGAAAGGUCACGCCUGAACCUGGUCCUGUACAAAUGCUGGAGUCCUCCAAAUCAAACUGAUGAGGGAGAGAGUAUCUAACAUGGGUGUAGACUGCUUCCACCCCAGACGCUAGAUUGAGACUUCCAACUUCAACUAAACAUAAAACCCUUUCUUCUUUUUCUUCUUUCUUUAUUCUGGCAUUAGCCUGGAGAGAUAACACAUUUGUCUGUAUCUCCCAGGCCAUUGCAAAGGGGAAUAGUCUUUGGAAUUUGGAGUCACUUUAUUUCAGGCUAGGGGAUUCUCUUCCCACAUGUGCUAAAACCCUGCCUGGCCCCUGGCUUGAACUAAUGAAUCCACUCACAGAACCUCCUUAACAGGAAUGAAUGGUACCCUGACAGGUCUUGUCUUUGUAGCGCUUGUCAUUCUCCUUGGGCCUAUGAAUGCCAAGACGGCUGACACACGCCUCUUAAGUUAACUAACUCUGCCCUUAACUCUUCUAGAAAGGACCUACCAGGUCUCCUUUUAUGAUUCAGGUGUGAUUCUUUUGGCAGGGCCCUUCUUCCCUGGUUAGGAGUAAAUGUAACUGAGGCUAUGAUCAGAAACCUCUCCACAACUCAUGAAGAUAUUGCAGUUUUUGUUGCUAAGACAUUAGCAACAGUAUCUUACACAACAAUGUUUUGCCCAGCAAAAAUAUUUAAACUCUCUGGCCAAGAUUCUUCUUGAAAAUGACAUAGCCCUUGAUUAUCUUUCUGCUGAGCAAGGAGGUAUCUGUGCAGUGGCCAACACCACCUCACGUACCUGGAUUGACACUUCUGGGGAAGUUGAAACUCAGUUACAUAAGAUCACUGAGAAAACACUUGACUUAAAAAGGUGACUCCAACAGGGUUUUUCUUUGACUGAUUUGGGUCUUGAGGAUUAUGGUUGCAAAGUGUACUCUAAACAUUGGGAAUUAUCCUGCGAUAAUUGUGAUAAUGUUCUCCCUGACAUAGCAUCCUCUCAGAAGCUUUAAAUGCACAUUCACAAAUGCUGACCAGCAGGGAAAUUAUCUUUCUAAGACUGGAACUUCAGAAAAGAAAUUACUCAAGUUAAGGAUGAUGAAGCUGGAACUGAGACUGUCACAGGGAUUAAGCAAAAACAUCAUGACCUAUGGAUAUCACACCAAAGACCAACAAAGCUGAAGGGCGACAGCUGAGAGUGGUGCUAAUGCCUUAAAUUUGAUCACAUCUCUAAGUUAGGGUGAGAGUCUGAUCAAUAGCGGGGAUUGUUAAAGAGAAAAACUGCAGGCCUAAAAUGAUGUCACCUGUGCCGAAGACCAUGCUACCAGAUCUAGAUUUAAUACCGAACAUAAUUGUGGUUUCGACCUUACCCCAGAAUAUCACCUUAAUCAACCAGUUUGGUAUUUUCUGGUCAACACUGAUGAGGUCAUCUUCAUGAUAAAGACCCCUGAUUUUCCAUUCCUGCCAUUUUCCAUUUCUCCACAAAGAAGAGGCCUUGGCCCCAAAUAACCAUGUCUCAUCUUUUACUAAUGUCCCCUCCGCCUCACCGUCCUUCCUAUAAAAACUUCCAUUCUGUACAGCUCCUUGAAGUAUGCUUCUAGUUCAUGGGAUGCUGCUUAAUUCAUGAAUCAUUGAAUAAAGCCAAUAAUGUCUUCAGAUUUA